Molecule: ribosomal RNA, 496 nt
Filed under: uncultured bacterium
Lineage: Bacteria
Description: partial 16S ribosomal RNA
Rfam family: Bacterial small subunit ribosomal RNA
Source: RNAcentral
GAUGAACGCUGGCGGCGUGCCUAAUACAUGCAAGUCGAGCGAACAGACGAGGAGCUUGCUCCUCUGACGUUAGCGGCGGACGGGUGAGUAACACGUGGAUAACCUACCUAUAAGACUGGGAUAACUUCGGGAAACCGGAGCUAAUACCGGAUAAUAUAUUGAACCGCAUGGUUCAAUAGUGAAAGACGGUUUUGCUGUCACUUAUAGAUGGAUCCGCGCCGCAUUAGCUAGUUGGUAAGGUAACGGCUUACCAAGGCAACGAUGCGUAGCCGACCUGAGAGGGUGAUCGGCCACACUGGAACUGAGACACGGUCCAGACUCCACGGGAGGCAGCAGUAGGGAAUCUUCCGCAAUGGGCGAAAGCCUGACGGAGCAACGCCGCGUGAGUGAUGAAGGUCUUCGGAUCGUAAAACUCUGUUAUUAGGGAAGAACAAAUGUGUAAGUAACUAUGCACGUCUUGACGGUACCUAAUCAGAAAGCCACGGCUAACUACGUG